This is a small nucleolar RNA of Tachyglossus aculeatus (Australian echidna), 138 nucleotides long. The record is from RefSeq and is a predicted model, not a curated record. Lineage: Eukaryota; Metazoa; Chordata; Mammalia; Monotremata; Tachyglossidae.
CCCCUCUCAGGAUCGCACCUGGAGACUUUCCAGUACCCUACCAGUCUCGUCUAUGGGAGGGAGAGUCAAGCAGAGUUACACCCAUUCCACUCCUAGCUUGGGCAGCAGCUGAUGAGUGGAAGGCAAUCUGCUACAAGU